UGACGGUAAUGGGUAAAGAAGCACCGGCUAACUACGUGCCAGCAGCCGCGGUGAUACGUAGGGUGCGAGCGUUGUCCGGAUUUAUUGGGCGUAAAGGGCUCGUAGGUGGUUGAUCGCGUCGGAAGUGUAAUCUUGGGGCUUAACCCUGAGCGUGCUUUCGAUACGGGUUGACUUGAGGAAGGUAGGGGAGAAUGGAAUUCCUGGUGGAGCGGUGGAAUGCGCAGAUAUCAGGAGGAACACCAGUGGCGAAGGCGGUUCUCUGGGCCUUUCCUGACGCUGAGGAGCGAAAGCGUGGGGAGCGAACAGGCUUAGAUACCCUGGUAGUCCACGCUGUAAACGGUGGGUACUAGGUGUGGGGUCCAUUCCACGGGUUCCGUGCCGUAGCUAACGCUUUAAGUACCCCGCCUGGGGAGUACGGCCGCAAGGCUAAAACUCAAAGGAAUUGACGGGGCCCCGCACAAGCGGCGGAGCAUGCGGAUUAAUUCGAUGCAACGCGUAGAACCUUACCUGGGUUUGACAUGGAUCGGGAGCGCUCAGAGAUGGGUGUGCCUCUUUUGGGGUCGGUUCACAGGUGGUGCAUGGCUGUCGUCAGCUCGUGUCGUGAGAUGUUGGGUUAAGUCCCGCAACGAGCGCAACCCUUGUUCACUGUUGCCAGCACGUUAUGGUGGGGACUCAGUGGAGACCGCCGGGGUCAACUCGGAGGAAGGUGGGGAUGACGUCAAGUCAUCAUGCCCCUUAUGUCCAGGGCUUCACGCAUGCUACAAUGGCUGGUACAGAGAGUGGCGAGCCUGUGAGGGUGAGCGAAUCUCGGAAAGCCGGUCUCAGUUCGGAUUGGGGUCUGCAACUC
Molecule: ribosomal RNA, 847 nt
Filed under: uncultured Propionibacterium sp.
Lineage: Bacteria; Bacillati; Actinomycetota; Actinomycetes; Propionibacteriales; Propionibacteriaceae
Description: bacterial SSU rRNA
Rfam family: Bacterial small subunit ribosomal RNA
Source: RNAcentral